RNAcentral lists this long non-coding RNA (1244 nucleotides) under Anthonomus grandis grandis. Its description in RNAcentral is "uncharacterized LOC126740292". The record is from RNAcentral. Lineage: Eukaryota; Metazoa; Arthropoda; Insecta; Coleoptera; Curculionidae.
CGGAUGCAUAAAACUCAUGAAGUUCAAAUAUAUGGAAAGUGAAUGAAGCUCCUUAAACAAGUGUCUUAUGGUAGUUUGGAAAAAAUCUUUAAUCACUACAGAAAAUUAAUAGUAUAUUGUAUACCUAGUAGGAAAAGCUUAACAUUCCCGGGCGAUCGUAAAAAUUGCCAGUCGAGGCGCAAGCCGAGACUGGCAAUACGGAGUCCGGGAAUGUGGCUUUUCCUACGAGGUCUACAUACUAUUUUUCCGAAAAUCGGGAAUCAUUAAAAUUACGGUAAAUUAUUACUAAUCAUGUUAAAAAUUUUAAAUCAACAUUAUUAUUUUUCCUUUAAAUAAAAGAAGCCAUGAAACAUUGUUUUGUAACUACGGAAACGAAGUACAUAAUUUUAAAUUGUCAAACUUGACGAGUGAAAAGUUUAUUUGUGGCGUCUUUCCAAAGUGUUGAUUUUUUAACGUUUUAAAAAGCCAAAGUAACGUGUAAAAUGAUGAGUGAUAAUGACUGUUCCAUUUCUGAAACCCUCCCAGAACUCACGGAGGCAAUGAAUGCUGCAUCAUUGGAAUUGUUACCAGUAAAAUCUAGAAAUAAGUAUAACUAUGCAUACAACCGCUUCAUGGACUACCGUACGAAUAAAAAUGUAACUUCUUUCUCGGAAAAUGUUGUAAUGGCAUACUUCUUGGAACUUGGAUUCUUCAACUUUAUGGGCCAAUUAUUCAAUGCUGAAGGCAACCCUUGCAAUUAGAGAUGAUGUGGAUAUAUCUGAAUAUUCAAAACUUCGGGCAUUCCUGAAACAACAAGCACAUGCCUAUAAGCCAAAAAAAUCCAAGAUUUUAACUAAAAAAGAAAUAAACAAAUUUAUUCAGGAAGCUCCAGACAAGGAAUAUUUAAUGAUUAAGGUAGCUGUAAUAUUUGGAAUUUCCGGAGCUUGCAGAAUGGACGAGCUGGUUAAAAUGACUGUAUUAGAUAUACAAGACCUACUAUCUAAACUUUUAGUUACCAUACCGGAUUCAAAAACCAAUACAUCAAGAUCAUUUAUAGUAAUAGUUAUUGUCAUACAAAUAAAAUUAUUAGUUUGGAAAAUAUUCAACAAAAUAAUGCUAUUAGUUCCCAAGUUCUUUCAGUUUUCAAUACUUGUACUAAUUGUCAAAUAACAGUAAAUAUAACAAAUAAUAAGUAAUAAUUUUAAAAUAUAAUAUUAACCUUGUUUGUGCUGAAAGUUUUAAAAAUAAAAUUGUUUAGGAAAAAG